This 371-nucleotide ribosomal RNA is filed under the name uncultured bacterium. RNAcentral's name for it is "bacterial SSU rRNA". It matches the Rfam family "Bacterial small subunit ribosomal RNA", at positions 524 to 898 of the family's 1533-position model. The record is from RNAcentral.
UACGUAGGGGGCGAGCGUUGUCCGGAAUUAUUGGGCGUAAAGGGUUCGCAGGCGGUCUGAUAAGUCAGAUGUGAAAGGCGUAGGCUCAACCUACGUAAGCAUUUGAAACUGUCAGACUUGAGUUAAGGAGAGGAAAGUGGAAUUCCUAGUGUAGCGGUGAAAUGCGUAGAUAUUAGGAGGAAUACCAGUGGCGAAGGCGACUUUCUGGACUUAUACUGACGCUGAGGAACGAAAGCGUGGGGAGCAAACAGGAUUAGAUACCCUGGUAGUCCACGCCGUAAACGAUGAGUGCUAGGUGUUGGGGGUCAAACCUCGGUGCCGCAGCUAACGCAUUAAGCACUCCGCCUGGGGAGUACGUACGCAAGUAUGAA